Molecule: long non-coding RNA, 693 nt
Organism: Pan troglodytes (chimpanzee)
Lineage: Eukaryota; Metazoa; Chordata; Mammalia; Primates; Hominidae
Exons: 5
Source: RefSeq, a predicted model, not a curated record
GUACACUGGUUAGUGUUACUUAGUACUGUAUUUCUAAGGAAACCGAGCUUGCUGAUGGGACAGAAGAGGGAGACAAUUUUCAACGUCAUUUUCCUCUAACUGUAUGGUCUCUCUCACAGGUAUACAAGGACCCCAGAACCUUAACACAAUUCUGAGGUGGAAGAAAUGGGGAACACCAGGCCUGGCCUCAUGGAGACCGGGGAGUCAGAACCUGAGCUCUGGCUCCUGGAGCUGCUGUGAGUGAGUGGUGGAAACCUGCCCCCUUAGAGAAGCUGCAGCUGAUCAGCAUCAUGCAAGGGACUGCUGAGAUGGUAGCAUGCUGGUAAUGAAGUGUUAUGGAGCCACUCCAUCCUUUAUUCAUCCUUUUCCUCAUACACACAGAGAGCAAAGCACAGGAACCAGCUACAGAAUUUGCAAGUGGAGAAUCCAGUGGGUGGGCCUUCUCCAAUCAGGCCUUAAGAGCAAAGACCAUGGUUUCUCAAAGAAAGAAUUUUCCUCAAGACUGCAACAUAGAGACCUUGCCUGAGUUUCCAGCCUGAUACCCUGAAGAAUUUGGACUCAAGACUGCAAUAUCAGCUCUUUCCUGAAUUUCUAGCCUGCUGGCCUGCCCUACAGAUUUUAGAUCUCCCAGCCCCAUUGCAUGAGCUAAUUCCUUAAAAUAAAUAAAUCUCUGUGUGUGUAUGUGUGCUGUAA